This is a long non-coding RNA of Oncorhynchus masou masou (cherry salmon), 999 nucleotides long. RefSeq lists it as uncharacterized. The record is from RefSeq and is a predicted model, not a curated record. The transcript is spliced from 2 exons. NCBI's taxonomy places the organism in Eukaryota, Metazoa, Chordata, Actinopteri, Salmoniformes, Salmonidae.
CCUGUCCCCAUCUCAACGACGGGCAACCGGCGUACACUGUGAGGCAUCACCUGAGGGUUCAACCUCGGGGCAGGGGGAUCCAGUACCUGUUUGACUGGGAGGGUUACGACGGGCAACUGGCGUACACUUUUUCCCGGUGUUGACCAUUCUGCCUGCCCUGACCCUGAGCCAGCCUGCCGUCCUGUACCUUUUCCCCACCUAUCUGGAUUACUGACCUCUGCCUGCCCUCGACCUGCCUUUUGCCUGCCCCUGUUCGAUUAAUAAACUGUUGUUACUUCGACGUUGUCCUAAAACGUGAUAGCGGGGGAACUGUGUAUAAUGUUGAGUCAUUAUACACAGCGGAGAGUGGCUUCUUGCCUAGUUAAAUAAAAAAAAUGAAAAAUAAAAGAAGCAGGGGUUGGAACCAUUACAGAGAACAGAACCGAAAAUCUAAAAAUAACUAACGAAAGAGAUCUCUAGUGUUCUGGAACAAAACCGUUAUUUUAAAAUCUAGAGAACCGGUUCAUCGUGUUAUUUUUAGUUCGAAAAAUAUUCCUAAUGUCUAGUAUAUAAUUCUGUAAUGCGGUGAAGUUAUAAUGCUAGCAAUAGCCUAAACUCUUUCCAGUUCACGUCAUGUCAUGAUGUUCAGUGCUUCAAACAAAGCCCCUUCCAUGUCCACCGGUGUCACGACUCCCACCGAAGGUGGCUCCUCUUCGUAUUCGGGCGGCGCUCGGUGCUCGUCGUCACCGGUGUACUAGCUGCCACCGAUCCCCUUUUCCUUUUCUGUUAGUUUUGUCUUAUUGAUUACACCUGUUUCUUGUUUGGGUUUUGUUAAGGGCUAUUUAAGCCGGUUAUGCCCGCCUGCUUUUUUGCGGGCUUGUUCCUAUGUUAGUUUGUGGAUGUGCAUUUGUAUUUUAUUUUCUCCGGACUGUUUGGGUCCUGUUUUUGGACCGGUUAGUUUUAUGUGCCUAGUAUUUUUGGCGUGACCGCUUUGUACCGGAAUAAAUAUGAUUGUCCUAA